This 453-nucleotide unclassified non-coding RNA is filed under the name Hevea brasiliensis (rubber tree). Lineage: Eukaryota; Viridiplantae; Streptophyta; Magnoliopsida; Malpighiales; Euphorbiaceae. The record is from RNAcentral.
AAAGUAUUGACAGCAUCAAAAAGUCUUCCAUGUCAUCCCAAAUUUAAUAUGGCAUGCAGUGUUAUAUUCAUCUGUUGACAGCAUAGAUAUGAAGCUAAAACCUUAUCUUCAUGCUAUAUUUUGAGACACUGUAGAUGCAGUUUAAAAACUCAUCUAACAGCUCACAAAGUCAUAGACCAUAAACAUCAGGCUAGUGAUGUUGGUAGCUUCCACCUUCAAUCCAAAUAUAUCAAAUCAUGCUGACUUCAAAGCGCACACCUGUGCUGACACAUAUGCUUAUGUAUAUAAAUACUAUUUAUUACAUGACUGGCAUGUUGUUAUGGGCCCUUGAGUAGCAUCAUGUCACAGGCUGCUGAACAGGGUAAUCCUCUUCAGGAUGGAAUGAAUUCCCCUUGGUAUUUCUGCCUCUAGAUGAGGAACCUAUAGUGGCUUGAAGUAAAGCUCUUUUGAGGG